This 253-nucleotide ribosomal RNA is filed under the name uncultured bacterium. Its description in RNAcentral is "partial 16S ribosomal RNA". It matches the Rfam family "Bacterial small subunit ribosomal RNA", at positions 524 to 776 of the family's 1533-position model. The record is from RNAcentral.
UACAGAGGUCUCAAGCGUUGUUCGGAAUCACUGGGCGUAAAGGGAGCGUAGGCGGAUGUUUAAGUUGGAUGUUUAAAACCGGGGCCUAACCUCGGAGCGGCAUCCAAAACUGGGCAUCUUGAAUAGGUCAGAGGCUGGUGGAAUUGGAGGUGUAGCGGUGGAAUGCGUAGAGAUCUCCAAGAACACCUAUUGCGAAGGCAGCCAGCUGGGACCAUAUUGACGCUGAGGCUCGAAAGCAUGGGGAGCAAACAGG